This is a non-coding RNA of Acanthosepion pharaonis, 105 nucleotides long. NCBI's taxonomy places the organism in Eukaryota, Metazoa, Mollusca, Cephalopoda, Sepiida, Sepiidae. The record is from the annotation of a GenBank genome assembly.
UUAUGACCAUAGCACGUUGAAACGCUAGUUCUCGUACGAUCACCAAUGUUAAGCAACGUCGAGCCUGAUCAGUACCUCGAUGGGUCACCUCUUGGGAAUAUUAAG